UACAGAGGUCUCAAGCGUUGUUCGGAUUCAUUGGGCGUAAAGGGUGCGUAGGUGGCAAGGCAAGUCAGGUGUGAAAUCUCGGGGCUCAACCCCGAAACUGCACUUGAUACUGCCUGGCUCGAGUACUGGAGAGGAGAUUGGAAUUUACGGUGUAGCGGUGAAAUGCGUAGAUAUCGUAAGGAAGACCAGUGGCGAAGGCGGGUCUCUGGACAGUUCCUGACGCUGAGGCACGAAGGUCAGGGGAGCAAACGGG
This 253-nucleotide ribosomal RNA is filed under the name uncultured bacterium. Its description in RNAcentral is "partial 16S ribosomal RNA". It matches the Rfam family "Bacterial small subunit ribosomal RNA", at positions 524 to 776 of the family's 1533-position model. The record is from RNAcentral.